Molecule: ribosomal RNA, 464 nt
Filed under: uncultured bacterium
Lineage: Bacteria
Description: partial 16S ribosomal RNA
Rfam family: Bacterial small subunit ribosomal RNA
Source: RNAcentral
GACGAACGCUGGCGGCGUGCUUAACACAUGCAAGUCGAACGGAAAGGCCCUGCUUGCAGGGUACUCGAGUGGCGAACGGGUGAGUAACACUUGGGUGAUCUGCCCUGCACUUCGGGAUAAGCCUGGGAAACUGGGUCUAAUACCGGAUAGGAGCCAUUUUUAGUGUGAUGGUUGGAAAGUUUUUUCGGUGUAGGAUGAGCUCGCGGCCUAUCAGCUUGUUGGUGGGGUAAUGGCCUACCAAGGCGGCGACGGGUAGUCGGCCUGAGAGGGUGGACGGCCACAUUGGGACUGAGAUACGGCCCAGACUCCUACGGGAGGCAGCAGUGGGGAAUAUUGCACAAUGGGCGCAAGCCUGAUGCAGCGACGCCGCGUGGGGGAUGACGGCCUUCGGGUUGUAAACUCCUUUCGCUAGGGACGAAGCUUUUGUGACGGUACCUAGAGAAGAAGCACCGGCUAACUACGUG